Molecule: ribosomal RNA, 483 nt
Filed under: uncultured bacterium
Lineage: Bacteria
Description: bacterial SSU rRNA
Rfam family: Bacterial small subunit ribosomal RNA
Source: RNAcentral
GGGGCUAUACAUGCAGUAGAACGCUGAAGCUUGGUGCUUGCACCGAGCGGAUGAGUUGCGAACGGGUGAGUAACGCGUAGGUAACCUGCCUCUUAGCGGGGGAUAACUAUUGGAAACGAUAGCUAAUACCGCAUAAAAGUCGAUAUCGCAUGAUAUUGAUUUGAAAGGCGCAAUUGCAUCACUAAGAGAUGGACCUGCGUUGUAUUAGCUAGUUGGUGAGGUAACGGCUCACCAAGGCGACGAUACAUAGCCGACCUGAGAGGGUGAUCGGCCACACUGGGACUGAGACACGGCCCAGACUCCUACGGGAGGCAGCAGUAGGGAAUCUUCGGCAAUGGGGGCAACCCUGACCGAGCAACGCCGCGUGAGUGAAGAAGGUUUUCGGAUCGUAAAGCUCUGUUGUAAGAGAAGAACGAGUGUGAGAGUGGAAAGUUCACACUGUGACGGUAACUUACCAGAAAGGGACGGCUAACUACGUGCCAG